This 71-nucleotide transfer RNA is filed under the name Upeneus japonicus (Bensasi goatfish). RNAcentral's name for it is "tRNA-Gly". The record is from RNAcentral. Lineage: Eukaryota; Metazoa; Chordata; Actinopteri; Syngnathiformes; Mullidae.
GUCUUUCUAGUAUAGAACUAGUAUUAGUGGCUUCCAACCACCCGGUCUUGGUGAAAAUCCAAGGAAAGAUA